UUGAAAACGGUUUGCUAGAAGUGCAGUUUUCGAGUUUUGUAGUGUGGAUUUUCUGAGUAAAUUUCUUUAAUAAUUACAUUUUUCGUGUGAAUUAAACUACACAAUUCGGAGCUAAACAUACCUUCAUUUUGGUUGUCAAUUAUUAAAACAACGAAUGAAGAGAUCAGUUUGGUUGUGGUGAGGACAUGGAAUGUUGGAGUUUGCAGCCUGGCAUGCUGAUUCACUCCUGUCAUGGACCACAGCUUUCAAGUAUCUCUUGACAGGGAUGAACUGGAUGGACUCUUCUAGAUAGCUGGGGCUGGAGAUACAUGACAACAUUUCUCAGUGCCAUGCAUCGAUGCUGAUAUGAGCUGGAGGACAUCCUCAUGUGACAUGAGUCAUCGACCAGAGCCUUCAAGUAUGGCUGUUGACAGCUGGACAUGGAGGAGAGAGAGACAAACAACGCGAAAGGAUGGCCUGCUCAAACGGAACAGUGGGAAGAAGAAGAAAUAUAGAAGACGCAGCAAAGAAGAUUCAUUUUUACAAAAUAGUGGGACUCUAGUGUAAGAGUUUAUAUAAAGUGAAAACUACAAACAUUGACAUUGAAAAGUGCAUAACAGUGAAUUAUUGAUGUGAAGUGAUAGAUAGUGAAAGGACUCGAAUAUACUUUCAUUUUCAAAAGACGUUGAAUUGAUUUAUAUUUUGUUUGUGAUGUUGUUGAUAUUGUGCAUGUUUUGGGGUGGGUGUCCAAGUGGGGCAUUUUCAGGCAUCGCGGAGACAGCUGGACGGACGGACUACGCAGAACUUCAAUCAAGGUAAAAGUCAGCUCUCGACCGAUUGUAACAGUUCAUUCUAGUUCUUUUUCUAAAUUCUUAUUUCUUCAAGUUUUAUUUUGAAUUCAUUUUUUCCAGAUCUGAAUCAUUGUUUCCUAUUUCAGUGAAUUAUUAAUUAUUACUUCACUAAAAUAGGAG
Molecule: long non-coding RNA, 950 nt
Organism: Nilaparvata lugens (brown planthopper)
Lineage: Eukaryota; Metazoa; Arthropoda; Insecta; Hemiptera; Delphacidae
Exons: 4
Source: RefSeq, a predicted model, not a curated record